UGUGGAUUUCCUUAAGAAACUUACGGCUC
This 29-nucleotide non-coding RNA is filed under the name Mus musculus (house mouse). Lineage: Eukaryota; Metazoa; Chordata; Mammalia; Rodentia; Muridae. The record is from RNAcentral.